AUGUCGGGCGGGGACGAGCAGCAAGAGCAAACUAUCGCCUAGGACCUGGUCGUGACCAAGUAUAAGAUGGGGGGCGACAUCGCCAAUCGGGUUCUUUGGUCUUUGGUGGAAGCUUCCAGCUCAGGUGUGUCAAUACUGAGCCUGUGGGAAAAAGGUGAUGCCAUGAUUAUGGAAGAGACAGGGAAAAUCUUCAAGAAAGAAAAGGAAAUGAAGAAAGGUAUUGCCUUUCCUACCAGCAUUUCAGUAAGUAACUGUGUAUGUCACUUUUCCCCUUUGAAGAGAGGCCAGGAUUACAUUCUCAAGGGAGGUGAUUUGGUAAAAAUUGACCUUGGAGUCCAUGGGGAUGGCUUCAUUGCUAAUGUGGCCCACACUUUUGUGGUUGAUGUAGCGGAGGGAACCCCAGUUACAGGGCGGAAAGCAGAUGCCAUUAAAGCAGCUCACCUUUGUGCUGAGGCUGCCCUACGCUUGGUCAAACCUGGAAACCAGAACACACAAGUGACAGAAGCCUGGAAUAAAGUUGCCCACUCAUUUAAGUGCACACCAAUAGAAGGUAUGCUGUCACACCAAUUGAAGCAGCAUGUCAUCGAUGGAGAAAAAACCAUUAUCCAAAAUCCAACAGACCAGCAAAAGAAGGACCAUGAAAAGAAUGCAUUUGAAGUACACGAGGUAUAUGCUGUGGAUGUUCUUGUCAGCUCAGGAGAAGGAAAGGCCAAAGAUGCAGGGCAGAGAACUACCAUUUAUAAACGAGAUCCGUUCAAACAAUAUGGCCUGAAAAUGAAAACUUCUCGUGCCUUCUUCAGUGAGGUGGAAAGACGUUUUGAUGACAUGCCAUUUACUUUAAGAGCAUUUGACGAUGAAAAGAAGGCCCGGAUGGGUGUGGUGGAAUGCGCCAAGCAUGAACUACUACAGCCAUUUAAUGUUCUCUAUGAGAAGGAGGGUGAGUUCGUUGCCCAGUUUAAAUUUACUGUUCUGCUCAUGCCCAGUGGCCCCAUGAGGAUAACCAGUGGUCCCUUUGAACCUGACCUCUACAAGUCUGACCUGGAAGUCCAGGAUGAGGAGCUGAAGGCCCUCCUUCAGAGUUCUGCAAGCCGGAAAACUCAGAAAAAGAAAAAAAAAGAAGGCCUCCAAGACUGUAGAGAAUGCCACCAGUGGGGAAACUUUAGAAGAGAAUGAAGCUGGGGUCUGA
Molecule: RNA transcript, 1186 nt
Organism: Elephantulus edwardii (Cape elephant shrew)
Lineage: Eukaryota; Metazoa; Chordata; Mammalia; Macroscelidea; Macroscelididae
Gene name: proliferation-associated 2G4, 38kDa pseudogene
Exons: 1
Source: RefSeq, a predicted model, not a curated record